RNAcentral lists this unclassified non-coding RNA (2333 nucleotides) under Cotesia glomerata. RNAcentral describes it as "uncharacterized LOC123258757, transcript variant X1". Lineage: Eukaryota; Metazoa; Arthropoda; Insecta; Hymenoptera; Braconidae. The record is from RNAcentral.
UUUUAAAAAGAUAUUUGCACAUCUUCUUUCUUAUUUUUUUGAUUUGCUCAUGCAAAAAAUAUUCAAUAUAGUGCUCAGUGUGUUAACUAGUUUCAUAAUUAUGAAUAUUUCUGGAAAAUUUAUUGUAAACCAAUUAGAAAUUCAUUAUUUUAAGAAUAUUAGAAAGUAUUUUAAAUGUAUUUAUGAUAAUUCUAAGAUUAAGCGGUGCAAUGGUGGUGGUGUUAUGAUUGACAACAACUUCACAGAAUCUAAGAAAUAUCGUCACAAUCAUAGUCGAAAUCUUAAGUUGGCUGAUGACACUAAAUUUUGUCAAACUCUAAGACAAUUUUCUCGUUUACCAUUUGUAAAACCGAAACAAGUUGUGAAAGCUUUGGAACGAGAUGAACCUGAAGUGACAUCGUCUUUAAUGUUGUCAACUUUACGUAAGAGGGUGCAGCGAUCCAUUAAGAAAGAAAAUCCGGUUAAUACUAAUAUUAAGUUAGCUCCUAAAAAUUUGAUGGAAUUCGGAAGAAAUUUAGAAAGUUCCACCGAAGAAUUAAAAUAUGGAUUGCAUAAGGAAAUGCAAUUAACAGCGAAGCUUUUAACGUUUCAAGUUCAAACCAGCAAGCGUGAAGUAAAGGAAGCCACUGUUAUUCUUAUGUACGAUGCAGAUUACUUGGAAGAAAUUAGUCCUUUCGUAGAAGUUAUUUCAACUGACGCGACUUUUAACUCAUUUCCUGAUCUGCAUGUGCGUAAAGGGCAGUUGAUGACAGUUAUGGUUCAAUUACGAACUGAUAACGAUUGUCAAAAGGCUAUACCUUGUACUUGGGUUCUUAUGAACAACAAAAGCACAGAUUGUUAUUUGCAAGUGUUUCAAUUUUUGGCUGACAAUUUUAAAAAUUUCAGGCCAAAAUAUUCCAUGACUGAUUACGAAAUCGCAUUAAGAAAUAGCCUUAAAGAGGUUUUUCCUGGCAUUCAAACAAAAACCUGUUAUUUCCAUUAUAGUCAGGCCUUGAUCAAAAAUGCUCAGGAAAAGAAAUUGAUAGACAAGGAUAACAAUAAAGAAGAACGCCCGGAACUUUUCAUUUUUUUGAACCGAUUGAAACUUCUUGCUUUGUUACCAGCUGAAUUCAUUGAAAGUGUUUACGAGAAAAUUGAAAAAGAAUGUUUAAACGAUUUUGGCGAUUAUUUCAGAGAUUACCUGAAUUAUUAUGAAAAGCAAUGGUUGAAGCAAGAAGGGGCAGCGCAGAUUUCUGUUUACAAGCUACGAAAUCGAACUAACAAUUUUUUAGAAAGUUAUCAUAAACAGUUAAACACUUUCUUAUCAAAAAGGCCGAAACAUAAUGUUUUUGUUGGCCUGGUAAUAGUCUCAUUGGAACCCACGCACCAUACGAAACCAGCGCACACAUGAAUUGAUAUCUGUGCAGUCAAUUUAUUUUUACUACCGGGGGACAAUCAUCAAAGCCAUUUCUGUCUGGUCAUAACCUGAUCUAUAUGUCUAUUAAGUAUGAAAUGUUAUACAGCUAGUGGAAAAAUGUUAAAUAUAGACGAAGUUUAUAUUUUUUGGCAGUGCGGUAAAUGCUUGCAGAAUAUAUCAUAGUCAUAGUGAUAGUCUUACGUUAUAUUUUGACAAUAAAAUGAUAGAGUUUGUUAAUUCCUUCAAAUACUUAUGGGUUGUGUUUGACAGUACACUGUCAUGAAAUCAGCAUGUAGCUAAUGUUAAAAAAGGCAUAGCAUGUGCUCUUUAUGAAAUGCAUAUGAAUGAUUCAAUUUUAAGUGUAUUGAUGUAAACGUAAACUUUUCGAUGCACUGGUACGACCAAUUUACAAAAUGGGGAGUAUGAGCACAUAUCUCAGCAUCAGCAUAGUUUGUACAUUCACACUCUACGGCGUCACAGAUUAUUAAUUGCGAGGUGUAAUUUCUGGGAUUAUCUUUAAUUGAAAAUGACCUCAUCUAAUACGAUUGACGAAUUUCGUAAUUAAAGUUUGUUGCACUAUAUUAAUCAAAAGAGAAAUAAUGACUGAAAACAGUUAGUGUAGGAAUGCAUGAAAUUAUAGGAGAUGACAAUGAUAAUUAAUGUCAAAAUAUUAUGCAUUCAAAUUUAAAUUGAAUUUUAUUUGUGCAUUGAAUCUUUCCUUUAGGAAAUUUAAUAACCAAAAUAGUGAAAUUGUCUUCUGAAUAUUAUUAUGUCAGGAUGUUCCGCUUCAGACGACUAUUUUCAACGGCUUAUGAUGCGAAGAAUCAGAGAGUGCUUUACGAAUGAAAAUUUUUUUUCGCGUCAUUUCGGCGACUAUUUUUAUAAUUAUACUCUUCUUUGGUCACGGAAUCAAGAUACUUUGCAUACUAUAGUCAAG